Molecule: unclassified non-coding RNA, 241 nt
Filed under: uncultured fungus
Lineage: Eukaryota; Fungi
Description: sequence contains ITS2
Source: RNAcentral
AACGCACAUUGCGCCCCUUGGUAUUCCGAGGGGCAUGCCCGUUCGAGCGUCAUUAUAACCCCUCAAGCCUAGCUUGGUGUUGGGGCCUGUUGUUACCGGCAGCCCUUAAAAUCAGUGGCGGUGCCAUCUGGCUCUAAGCGUAGUAAUACUUCUCGCUACAGGGUCCCGGUGGAUGCUUGCCAUCAACCCCUAAUUUUCUAUGGUUGACCUCGGAUCGGGUAGGGAUACCCGCUGAACUUAA